AGUGAACGCUGGCGGUAGGCCUAACACAUGCAAGUCGAACGGCAGCACCGUAAGAGCUUGCUCUUACGGGUGGCGAGUGGCGGACGGGUGAGGAAUACAUCGGACUCUACUUUUUCGUGGGGGAUAACGUAGGUAAACUUACGCUAAUACCGCAUACGACCUACGGGUGAAAGCAGGGGAUCUUCGGACCUUGCGCGAUUGAAUGAGCCGAUGUCGGAUUAGCUAGUUGGCGGGGUAAAGGCCCACCAAGGCGACGAUCCGUAGCUGGUCUGAGAGGAUGAUAGGCCACACUGGAACUGGAACACGGUCCAGACUCCUACGGGAGGCAGCAGUGGGGAAUAUUGGACAAUGGGCGCAAGCCUGAUCCAGCCAUACCGCGUGGGUGAAGGAGGCCUUGGGGUUGUAAAGCCCUUUUGUUGGGAAAGAAAAGCAGCAGGUUAAUACCCCGCGGUUCUGACGGUACCCAAAGAAGAAGCACCGGCUAACUUCGUG
This 492-nucleotide ribosomal RNA is filed under the name uncultured bacterium. RNAcentral describes it as "partial 16S ribosomal RNA". It matches the Rfam family "Bacterial small subunit ribosomal RNA", at positions 29 to 507 of the family's 1533-position model. The record is from RNAcentral.